UACAGAGUGGGCAAGCGUUGUUCGGAAUUACUGGGCGUAAAGGGCGCGUAGGCGGCCUUCUAAGUCGAACGUGAAAUCCCCGGGCUCAACCCGGGAACUGCGUCCGAUACUGGAAGGCUUGAAUCCGGGAGAGGGAUGCGGAAUUCCAGGUGUAGCGGUGAAAUGCGUAGAUAUCUGGAGGAACACCGGUGGCGAAGGCGGCAUCCUGGACCGGCAUUGACGCUGAGGCGCGAAAGCCAGGGGAGCAAACGGG
Molecule: ribosomal RNA, 253 nt
Filed under: uncultured bacterium
Lineage: Bacteria
Description: partial 16S ribosomal RNA
Rfam family: Bacterial small subunit ribosomal RNA
Source: RNAcentral